Rhinopithecus roxellana (golden snub-nosed monkey) is the source of this 432-nucleotide long non-coding RNA. RefSeq lists it as uncharacterized. The record is from RefSeq and is a predicted model, not a curated record. NCBI's taxonomy places the organism in Eukaryota, Metazoa, Chordata, Mammalia, Primates, Cercopithecidae. The transcript is spliced from 3 exons.
CACCCUUCCAGACAGUCAAGGCCUCAAGGGUUGACUUCCAGAAGAUUCGCUGUAUAAAAAAAGGUUUUCUUAAAUGUUGUUUUAAUAACUUCUUUGGAGGUAAAAGGAAAUAAAACUGACUGAAUGCCCAGAUCUUCAGGAGGAAAGGAAGGGCACACGGAAGGUGAAUUCACCCAGAGAACUCUGGCAAAGCCACUAUGGUACCGGCACAGCAAAUCAAAGCCACUCUGUGUUCACCUAGGGCUGCUUGAAACCACAAGAUGCUAAGAAACCCCUACAGUGUCGCUCCCAUGCCCCCCGGCUGGCUACGUGAGUGUGGGAUCCACCAGCACCAGGACUCUGCUACAUCCUGCGGACACAGGAAGAGUCUGUCUCUCAGCCUCCCCCAGUUUGGCCAAAGGAGUGUGGAAAGUGGUGAUGUAAGUCCAGUUC